GAUGAACGCUGGCGGCGUGCUUAACACAUGCAAGUCGAACGAAGCACUUUAUUUGAUUUCCUUCGGGAAUGAUUAUUUUGUGACUGAGUGGCGGACGGGUGAGUAACGCGUGGAUAACCUGCCUUGUACAGGGGGGUAACAGUUGGAAACGGCUGCUAAUACCGCAUAAGCGAACAGCAUCGCAUGAUGCAGUGUGAAAAACUUCGGUGGUGUAAGAUGGAGCCGCGUUGGAUUAGCUAGUUGGUGAGGUAACGGCCCACCAAGGCGACGAUCAGUAGCCGACCUGAGAGGGUGAACGGCCACAUUGGAACUGAGACACGGUCCAAACUCCUACGGGAGGCAGCAGUGGGGAAUAUUGCACAAUGGGGGAAACCCUGAUGCAGCAACGCCGCGUGAACGAUGAAGGCCUUUGGGUCGUAAAGUUCUGUUCUAGGUGAUGAAAACUGACAGUAACCUAGGAGAAAGCCCCGGCUAACUCCGUG
RNAcentral lists this ribosomal RNA (482 nucleotides) under uncultured bacterium. RNAcentral's name for it is "partial 16S ribosomal RNA". It matches the Rfam family "Bacterial small subunit ribosomal RNA", at positions 28 to 507 of the family's 1533-position model. The record is from RNAcentral.